Molecule: long non-coding RNA, 462 nt
Organism: Physeter macrocephalus (sperm whale)
Lineage: Eukaryota; Metazoa; Chordata; Mammalia; Artiodactyla; Physeteridae
Exons: 3
Source: RefSeq, a predicted model, not a curated record
AGGUGAACAUUCUGGUGGUGCUAAUGGAAUUUCAGAGCUGAGUUUUGUUUCUCAAUCCUGGGACAGGCCCUGGCAGAUCCGAGAUGAGGAAGCACAAACAGGUGGACUUGGAGAUGACACACUCGGGCUUCGCAGAAAUGGAGGAGAAAAGCUAACAACUGGUUUACGCUCAAGAAUCAAUAGAAUGAGCAGGAGCUGUAUAACCAGAAGGAGUCAUUGCCAGUGUGGUUGUUGUCUCCAUCAUCACCAACACCACCGCCACCAACAGGGGAACAAGAGCAACUGCUGUUCACUGAGUGUUACUGUAUAUCAGUUCCCAUGGCAAACAUCGCACAUAGUUCAUCUCAUUGAUCCUUUACAAGGAAUGAAGGAAUGAUCAUUAGAAGGAAUGUAUUAUUUACUCCCAUUUAAUAGGUUAGGAAACCGAGGCUUAGAAUCACAUAGUAAAGUGGAGCUGGAAUU